GCCCCCAGCGGCUCUCUCUGUGCUCUAGCCGAUUAAUCUUUACGAUCAAUGGCUGCGAGUGUGCCCUAGCUGAUUAAUCUCUACAAUCAAUGGAUAAUCAGGUUGAUGCUGAGAUUCAAACUACAGUUGCUCAAGGUGAUGUUUACAACGAGGAAGAGGCGCAACCAUAUGUGUUGGGUGGUUAUCGUAAUGAGAUAUAAGAGACUCAACACUCAAAUGGAAUUACAAUUGUUCAAGUUACAAAUGAAUGGACUAGAUUUAGGGAUAAUCUAGCUUAUACUAUUUACUAUUUACUUAUUUAUUGACAUUUGUAUAAUAUUUUCUUUUAUGAUUUGUGUAUCAAUUCGAUGUUGUAUCAGGACUA
Molecule: non-coding RNA, 364 nt
Organism: Salvia hispanica
Lineage: Eukaryota; Viridiplantae; Streptophyta; Magnoliopsida; Lamiales; Lamiaceae
Source: RefSeq, a predicted model, not a curated record